This 28-nucleotide non-coding RNA is filed under the name Homo sapiens (human). Lineage: Eukaryota; Metazoa; Chordata; Mammalia; Primates; Hominidae. The record is from RNAcentral.
UCAGAUUGAGUGGGUGCUCUCAUUGGCC